Long non-coding RNA from Epinephelus fuscoguttatus (brown-marbled grouper), 373 nucleotides. RefSeq lists it as uncharacterized. The transcript is spliced from 4 exons. The record is from RefSeq and is a predicted model, not a curated record. NCBI's taxonomy places the organism in Eukaryota, Metazoa, Chordata, Actinopteri, Perciformes, Serranidae.
GCGAGGCCAAGAAUCCAGACAUCAAUGACAAGAACCCAGACUGCUCAUCUCCGAAGAGGAAGAGCAGAAAAAGGAAAAAAAAAACUCUCCGGUGACGCUGGUCAAAACCAGACCUCUGAGGAAAAGAGGAAAAGUGUCUGAUUAGAAAUCCAGACUGCAGCUCCUCCACAGAGGAAAAGGAUGAAGACGAGCCUGGAUUGAGGGUGCACCUUCACGUGCAGCGCCAGGCCACCAGAGCCAUGGCGGACGACAGAGGCCAAUGGAGGCCAAUGGAGGCCAAUGGAGGCCAACACAGGACAAAAGAGCCAGAGGGACAAAGGAUCAGGGUAAUAUCAGGUCAUCAGGAGGUUUGUUGGUCUUUAGUAACGCCUGC